UGGGGAAUAUUGGACAAUGGGGGCAACCCUGAUCCAGCAAUGCCGCGUGUGUGAAGAAGGCCUUCGGGUUGUAAAGCACUUUUAUCGGGAACGAAACAUUGUCGGCCAAUACCCGGCAAGACUGACGGUACCCGAGGAAUAAGCACCGGCUAACUCCGUGCCAGCAGCCGCGGUAAUACGGAGGGUGCAAGCGUUAAUCGGAAUUACUGGGCGUAAAGCGUGCGCAGGCGGUUUGUUAAGUCUGUCGUGAAAUCCCCGAGCUCAACUUGGGAAUUGCGAUGGAUACUGGCAAGCUGGAGUACGGUAGAGGAAGGUGGAAUUCCCGGUGUAGCAGUGAAAUGCGUAGAGAUCGGGAGGAACACCAGUGGCGAAGGCGGCCUUCUGGACCAGUACUGACGCUCAUGCACGAAAGCGUGGGGAGCAAACA
Molecule: ribosomal RNA, 427 nt
Filed under: uncultured bacterium
Lineage: Bacteria
Description: bacterial SSU rRNA
Rfam family: Bacterial small subunit ribosomal RNA
Source: RNAcentral